Molecule: long non-coding RNA, 1166 nt
Organism: Oxyura jamaicensis (ruddy duck)
Lineage: Eukaryota; Metazoa; Chordata; Aves; Anseriformes; Anatidae
Exons: 3
Source: RefSeq, a predicted model, not a curated record
CCCCGCUGCCACCACCAUCACCAUCAUCAUCUUCAUCUUCGUCAUCAGUCCUGGGGGGGGCACCGAGCCCUUCCCCUACCCCCCGUUAACUUCCCCACAGCGCGGGGGACGCCGCCGGACCUCGGCCUCGGGAGCCCCCUCCUGCUGCGGGCAGGGGGGGGAGGAAGACGAGAAGGAGGAAGAGGAGGAGGAGGAGGAUGGUGUGGGGGUGUCCCCCACCCGGCAGCCUCCCCCCUUUCCGGGAUCCCGGUGCCGGGUGCGGACCCACACACAAGUUUGGGGGCUCCUCGAAGAGCCGCGGCUCUUCCAAAUAACGCUCCGCAUUUUUUAUUUUUUUUUUUUUGGGGGGGGGUCCCGUCCGUCCCCGCCCGCCUCCCCCCCUCAUUCCCUCUCCCCACUCCGAAGCCCCCCGGCUCCCCGUUACCUCCUGUCCGCCAUCUCGGGAGAGCGCCGCCGCGUCCCGGGGCUGGCCCAGCCGGGGCCCGGCCGGUCGCCCCCCGGAGGCUUCACGGGUAAAGGAAGAUUGUUACCAUCUCUGACUCAUUUCAAAAUUUUCAGUCAACCAAAUGCUUUUUAGUAGAACCUAAAGACAUAUCCUUAUUUAGCUCUGCAUUUUUGAGAACACAGAAUGUUGAAUAUUAGUACACAUGGCUUGGACACAGCUGGGAGCACAGCUUCAAGCAACUUUUCCACCCCGAAUAACUAAAGAAAGCACAAAAGAACGUUUUCAGUGUGGCUUAGCCAAUGAAAGCCUGUGCCUGUGCUCCCUCCCCCAGACAGCAUUGAAGGGCUGCCUGGUAUUUGGGUGGAACCUCCUAAAAAGCAGAUUGCCUCUGUUUAAGCACUUAUGCAGUAACAUGAGUGUGAAAAAGACCCUGAAAGAAGACCAUGCAAAACAAGAGGAUGGGCCAGUGGGCACGUGAAUGAUAAACUGGGUAUUGAGGAAGCCGUCCCGUGGACGGAAGCUCACUUGUAAUUCCUGGCCAUCACUGCAAAGCAGUAAGUGCCUGGUAGCAGCAGGGUCUCCUUGGCAGUGGGGGAAGCCCUCUGCCACUGGGCCUGUGAUGUCUCUCCCACCCAGACUCCAGCUGUUUAUAUCUGGAAUAUUAUUUUCUCAUCCUUAGUUUUGUAGAGAUACUGUAAUAGUAAAGGCCUUCAUUGGAAAG